This is a long non-coding RNA of Hemicordylus capensis (graceful crag lizard), 786 nucleotides long. RefSeq lists it as uncharacterized. The transcript has 4 exons. The record is from RefSeq and is a predicted model, not a curated record. Lineage: Eukaryota; Metazoa; Chordata; Lepidosauria; Squamata; Cordylidae.
CCCCCGCCAGUGGUCACAGCCUUUACUUUCCGCCUAGAGUGGACGGCCGGCUCCUCCUGCUGCUGCCCCCCUGCGGCUCCAACAACAAUUGCAGCAUUUCUGGAUUCCAGCAAAAAACAUAGGCGUGUUGCAACCGUGUUUGUUAUCCCGGAAUAUCUAUCCAUAUAUCUGUGAAUAUAGCUAUCCACGCAAUCCGGUCCUUGAUUUCUGGGAAGAAGUAACGCCUGUCCUACACAUGCCGUGGGAGUGAGAUGGUAGGAUCUUGAGUAACAUUCUGGGCUGACAUCCUUGCCACAUGUGAAACAUGAUGUCUGGACACACUAUCACUAUUUCCUCUAGUCACUGAAUCAAGAACAUUUCUUUGGUGCCCCCUUGGAAUGCCAACAGCUAAGAACAGUGUCUCCUACGCAGACUCUCUGCAGGAAGUCCUCUAACUGGUCUAAAGGACCAGAUCUUCUGAAUGUUCAGGGCUGUGGAGAGCGGAGACCAUAAGGGUUGCUGACAGUAUGACCAGCAUAAGUGCCUACUGUGAUUCCAGGUUUCAUCUCUGGGGUUGCCAUACUCCUUGUUCCAGACAGACCCAUAAAGCUUUGCAAGGUCUAUGGCUGAAAAUUAUGUAACAGGUACAGCCAGACCCAAAUGACAUUCACAACUCUUCUAUAUUUGAUACAACUUGCAAAGACACAGGAAUCCUGCUGGGAUAGUUGGCUAGCAACUCUGUGCUCAUGUUUUUCUUUCGGAUGCCAGCCCAUCUCUGAUGCUAUUCAAUAAAAGUGUUAACUUUGA